GUCUGUAGAACCUGACGGAUCCGCCACGAUGCUGAUGCUGUGGACAUUUGCAGUGCUACUGGGAGCAGUAGAUGGUAUUAGUGGUCAAACAGUUGAGAAGCUAGAAUGAAUGAGUCCCUCCAUGGAGCUGGGCAGAGACACCAUGUUUCCCCGAGGCAGAAGUGAGGAUCAGCAGGUUGUCUGCAGCAGAAGCCUUAUCCCGAGACCGUUUUUGUGUGAGCAGGAGAGCGUUUGGGAAAGCAGAGGAAGAAAAUCUGCCACAAGAUGAAAUUUAACUCAUAUUUUGCCUGAGAAAGACCAUUAGAAGGACAUUCUGGUUAAACUAACAUCCUUGAAACACCGGGUGGUUUUAGGACAAGAAGUCUGCUAUGGUAGAACUCUGCUGCUUCGCUGAUGAUUCUCUAAAUGGAGGAACUUUGGAAAGACCUCUCAGAGUGUUGCCCUGGUCUCUAAAAGUGGUCCGCACAUGCUUCCUCCUGUACACGAAAGAGAACCACAAUAGUGUUUAGACUUGUUUUAUGCUCCUGUAAAAGAGUACUACCGACAGUAAAUCGUUUAAAAUGUGAUGCUUAUUUAGCUCACAUAUGUAGAAGAAGGGGACCCUAGAAUCAAAGAUGUAGCCUCUCAAGGCCCCUGGCUGGGCGCUUUCACACCACAUCACAGUAUAGUGAACAAUAUCAUGUGGUGGGAAGCGUGUAAGGACAGAGAUGAGGAAGGGUAGAUUAAGGCACUAUGUAACAACAAAUUUGAAGUUUUGCUCUCUUUAGAAAACAUUCAAAUAUUAUGAGAAUGUGUUUUCGUUUUAAUCCCAGGUGUGGGGUACGGGGCUGCUUCAGAUUAUCCACAGCUGACUAUGAUUUGCCUCGUUCUCUGGUGGGCAUGAUUUUGCCAGCUGCAGAUAGCAAAAUGUGGUUUUGUGACGUUUGGAAUUCUGGGGACUUCUCAGAGAGUGUACAAAUGCUAAGGCCAUUAGAGGCAGGGAAGGUUGGUGUUGCUGUUGCUGGUUGCUGUUGGUCACCAUUGGUUAAGGAGAUAUGCACAAACCAGAAAGAAGAAGAAAUUAGAUGUCCUGACUGUGAAGAUCAAACUUGCCCUUACUCCACACUGCUAAUCAGCAGGAAAUAGCCCUAAUAAUAUGGCCUGCUUUCCUUUCUAGCGUUUUGUUUUUUGUUUUGUUUUUUGUUGUUGUUGUUGUUUUUUGUCUCCUGUCUAGUGUUGGGUUGGGAGGGUGGAGAUAGGUGGUCUAAAAGAAGAACCCACAGAAUCUUAAGAAGCCCGGCUAUAAUACUAUUUCACAAGGAGCCUACUCUUGCAUUUUGCCACCCCAAUUUUCUAACGAUAGCAAUAAUCUUCUCAUGAAGGCACAGUCCCUGGGACCUAAUCACCCAUUAACAGCUCUCCUUCUCAACAUCAUGUCAGUGGUAAUAAAAUUUCAACUAUUCAAACC
Mus musculus (house mouse) is the source of this 1447-nucleotide long non-coding RNA. RefSeq annotates it as RIKEN cDNA 1810018F18 gene. Lineage: Eukaryota; Metazoa; Chordata; Mammalia; Rodentia; Muridae. The record is from RefSeq and is marked validated. The transcript is spliced from 3 exons.